UAGGGAAUCUUGGACAAUGGGCGAAAGCCUGAUCCAGCGACGCCGCGUGGGGGACGAAGGCCCUCGGGUUGUAAACCCCUGUUGGGAGGAAAGAAGCCGGCCGCAAGGCCGGUGACGGUACCUCUCGAGGAAGCCCCGGCUAACUACGUGCCAGCAGCCGCGGUAAGACGUAGGGGGCGAGCGUUAUCCGGAUUCACUGGGCGUAAAGGGCGCGUAGGCGGCUGCGUAAGUCCGGCGUGAAAUCCCACGGCUCAACUGUGGAACUGCGUCGGAUACUGCGCUGGCUAGAGGAUGGUAGAGGCCUGUAGAACUAGCGGUGUAGCGGUGAAAUGCGCAGAUAUCGCUAGGAAUGCCGGUGGCGAAGGCGGCGGGCUGGGCCACUCCUGACGCUGAUGCGCGAAAGCUAGGGGAGCGAACCGGAUUAGAUACCCCCGUAGUCC
RNAcentral lists this ribosomal RNA (440 nucleotides) under uncultured bacterium. RNAcentral's name for it is "bacterial SSU rRNA". It matches the Rfam family "Bacterial small subunit ribosomal RNA", at positions 355 to 796 of the family's 1533-position model. The record is from RNAcentral.